GCUAAGGCCCCUAAAUGGCCGCUCAGUGAUGAAGGAGGUAGGAGUACAAAGACAGCCAGGAGGUUAGCCUAGAAGCAGCGAUCCUUCAAAGAGUGCGUAAUAGCUUACUGCUCGAGCGCUCUUGCACCGAAGAUGAUCGGGACUAAGCGAUCUGCCGAAGCUGUGGGAUGUUAAAUAAAAAGAACAUCGGUAGGGGAGCGUUCCGCCUCAUAGGGAAGCAUCUGCGAGAGCAGAUGUGGACGAAGCGGAAGCGAGAAUGUCGGCUUGAGUAACGCAAACAUUGGUGAGAAUCCAAUGCCCCGAAAACCUAAGGAUUCCUCCGCAAGGUUCGUCCACGGAGGGUGAGUCAGGGCCUAAGAUCAGGCCGAAAGGCGUAGUCGAUGGACAACAGGUUAAUAUUCCUGUACUACCCUUUGUUGGUCCCGAGGGACGGAGUAGGCUAGGUUAGCCGAAAGAUGGGAUAUCGGUUAAAGGUCACAAGGUUACCCCGCUUUUCGGGGUAAGAAGGGGUAGAGAAAAUGCCUCGAACCAAUGUCCGAAUACCAGCGUUACGUCACUGAACCUGUUUCAGGACGGCGCUUAAGUACCCAUGUCAUACUCCCAGGAAAAGCUCGAACGACCUUCAACAAACGGGUACCUGUACCUGAAACCGACACAGGUAGGUAGGUAGAG
Molecule: ribosomal RNA, 672 nt
Filed under: Taxus baccata (English yew)
Lineage: Eukaryota; Viridiplantae; Streptophyta; Pinopsida; Cupressales; Taxaceae
Description: bacterial LSU rRNA
Rfam family: Bacterial large subunit ribosomal RNA
Source: RNAcentral